Molecule: long non-coding RNA, 1191 nt
Filed under: Cricetulus griseus (Chinese hamster)
Lineage: Eukaryota; Metazoa; Chordata; Mammalia; Rodentia; Cricetidae
Description: lncRNA (ENSCGRG00015029167.1)
Source: RNAcentral
UGUGUAUACUCAGUGUGUAUGUAUGUGUGCAUGUGUUCAUGUGUGUUUGUGUGUGUGUGUGUAUGUCAUGGCGCAUGUGGAAGGCCAGAGUACAUCCGGAGGGAGCUGUUUCUCUCCUUUUACCACGUGGCUCCUGGGAAUCGAACUGAUAAAGGCAGUAAGUUCCUUUAUCCUCUGAGCCAUCUUGCUGACCCACGAGUGCUUACUUCAUAAGUUAAAGGUACAAACCAUUUCCCAGGAUUCAACACAUUAGUUCUUUUAUUAUGAAAUCAGCUUUGACUUUGUGCCGCAAGCCCCCCCUCUGCAACCAUUUAAAAAAAUAGUUGGGGGUGCUUUUAAUCCAAGCAAUUGGUGGGGGGGGUGGAUAUAGGCAGAUCUCUGUGAGUACAAGGCCAGCCAAGGCUACAUAGGUAGACCCUCUCUUGAAAAUAAAUUAAAAUAUACUAUUUUAAUUAAUUUUUUGAGAAUUUCAUACAUUUGAUCUCAUUUACCCUCCACUUCUAACCCUAAUCCUCAGGUUCAUUCUCCAUGAACGCCUUUGACAUACCCUGCAGCCUGCAUGGUUUCACCCCGUCACCCACACUGUACCCUGUCCUUUCCACACCAGACAUGUUGGGAGUGCCCUGCCCAGAAAACCUCUUUCCAGGCCUUGGACUCUUGGUUUUUCCGUUUUCUUCGUUGUUCCCUGUCUUUGAGGAAGAUUGGAGGACCCAGGAUGCUAACUGGGUCAGCACAGUCCACUGGGCCAUCUCCCUGGCCUUAGUCUCAGAUCUUUCUAGGUCCCUCCAUAUCUGAUUCAUGGCUCCUCAGAAGUAGGCAGGAGAGGAGUGAGCAGAACUUGGGGUCCAGGCCGGAAGCAGAGGAGAAGCGUGGCCGUACCCUCCUGGCGCUGAUCUCCACACCACGUUUCUUUCACAUUUGGUGUUGUGUGGCUCUUCUGAACGUGAUGUCCACCGCCAGAAAGCAGGAUGGGCAGUGUCAGCGGGGAACUGUCGUUGCACUGAAGCCUCGUCACCUGUUUAAUAAGAAUUGAGUGUUGGUCUGGAGGUGUCGGCCACAGGAUAGAGCCUUGCCUAGUGUAUGUGAGGCCCUGAAAGUCCAGCCUGGAAAUAAAGCGCAGUGGUGUUUAACAUGCGUCUGUCAGCUCUUCUUUCUCACAUACUGAUACCACUCUGACUAAAACUGAUGGGA